ACCUAGGAGAUGGGCCUCUGGGCAGGCCUGUGGGAGACCACUGUGGGAAGACCAUGCUGACCACUGGUGAGCAGGACUACUCCCUGGGCGGGGGAUCCUGGAUGGUGUAAGUGGAGAAAGCCAGCUGAGGACCAGCAUGCACUCGUCAUUCUGUUUCUAUCUGGAUGUGAUGUGAACCACUGUGUCAAGCUCUAGCUGCCUUGCUUUUCCCAUCAUGAUGGACGGUGCGCACCCUGAACUGAUCCGGUUUAAAACCACCUGCUAAUAAAACAAGGCAGACAGAAUGACUAAAGCCAUCUUUAAGCCCUAAACAAUGCUAUUAGUGAUUCGGGGUUCCUGAAUGUCAGCAGAAUGCACAAAAGCGGCUGGAAGAAAGGGGUCUGCAGGGAGGAGAGGCACUCGGGGAUGGAUUACCUGCAGCAGAGAGUCCUCUGAACUGGCGCCAUGGUUCACCGGGAAAGGCAUUCGCCCAUCUGGAACAAAGAAGGCAGGCCUGUCAGCGCUCCUCUGCAUUCCCAGAAUCUGGUAGCUGCCCAAUCCAGAAGGAUUUCUAAGAUUUGUCCAAACGCUGCUACCAUUCCCACAAGGGGAGUCUGAUCUCAAAGCGGCAGGAUGCAUGAGAUUGAAGCGCUCCUGGAUGGUCGCUGACAAUUCUAGUCUACAAUCGAUGAGAUCACACAGGCCCGACCCAGCUACCCUAACAGGAGGAAUUAAUUGUACCCCCAUGCUUUGGAGAAAACAACUGUGGAAAAGUCAGGCAGUCUCUAGGCAAGAGUAAAGACUGCUCCGGUUUCCAGCUGCCCUUUUGUGACUGCUGAUUUUUUCCCAUCUCCUUUGCCCCUGGGAGCCUUUAACUCUGAGGUGAUACAGGUGCAAGCCUUUCUCCAUUAAAAGAAAAUGAAUGGAUUUCC
Non-coding RNA from Rattus norvegicus (Norway rat), 911 nucleotides. The record is from RefSeq and is a predicted model, not a curated record. NCBI's taxonomy places the organism in Eukaryota, Metazoa, Chordata, Mammalia, Rodentia, Muridae.